This 220-nucleotide ribosomal RNA is filed under the name uncultured Staphylococcus sp. RNAcentral's name for it is "partial 16S ribosomal RNA". It matches the Rfam family "Bacterial small subunit ribosomal RNA", at positions 143 to 355 of the family's 1533-position model. The record is from RNAcentral. Lineage: Bacteria; Bacillati; Bacillota; Bacilli; Caryophanales; Staphylococcaceae.
AUAACUUCGGGAAACCGGAGCUAAUACCGGAUAAUAUAUUGAACCGCAUGGUUCAAUAGUGAAAGACGGUUUUGCUGUCACUUAUAGAUGGAUCCGCGCCGCAUUAGCUAGUUGGUAAGGUAACGGCUUACCAAGGCAACGAUGCGUAGCCGACCUGAGAGGGUGAUCGGCCACACUGGAACUGAGACACGGUCCAGACUCCUACGGGAGGCAGCAGCCC